RNAcentral lists this ribosomal RNA (497 nucleotides) under uncultured bacterium. Its description in RNAcentral is "partial 16S ribosomal RNA". It matches the Rfam family "Bacterial small subunit ribosomal RNA", at positions 28 to 507 of the family's 1533-position model. The record is from RNAcentral.
GAUGAACGCUGGCGGCGUGCCUAAUACAUGCAAGUCGAGCGAACAGACGAGGAGCUUGCUCCUCUGACGUUAGCGGCGGACGGGUGAGUAACACGUGGAUAACCUACCUAUAAGACUGGGAUAACUUCGGGAAACCGGAGCUAAUACCGGAUAAUAUCUUGAACCGCAUGGUUCAAUAGUGAAAGACGGUUUUGCUGUCACUUCUAGAUGGAUCCGCGCCGCAUUAGCUAGUUGGUAAGGUAACGGCUUACCAAGGCGACGAUGCGUAGCCGAGCUGAGAGGGUGAUCGGCCACACUGGAACUGAGACACGGUCCAGACUCCUACGGGAGGCAGCAGUAGGGAAUCUUCCGCAAUGGGCGAAAGCCUGACGGAGCAACGCCGCGUGAGUGAUGAAGGUCUUCGGAUCGUAAAACUCUGUUAUUAGGGAAGAACAAAUGUGUAAGUAACUAUGCACGUCUUGACGGUACCUAAUCAGAAAGCCACGGCUAACUACGUG